ACACGAACCGGACGAACGUUAUUCGGAAUCACUGGGCUUAAAGAGUGCGUAGGCGGCUUGGAAAGUUGGGUGUGAAAUCCCUCGGCUCAACCGAGGAAUUGCGCCCAAAACUGCCAGGCUUGAGGGAGACAGAGGUGAGCGGAACUGAUGGUGGAGCGGUGAAAUGCGUUGAUAUCAUCAGGAACACCGGUGGCGAAGGCGGCUCACUGGGUCUCUUCUGACGCUGAGGCACGAAAGCUAGGGGAGCGAACGGUAUUAGAAACCCCGGUAGUCC
This 274-nucleotide ribosomal RNA is filed under the name uncultured bacterium. RNAcentral describes it as "partial 16S ribosomal RNA". It matches the Rfam family "Bacterial small subunit ribosomal RNA", at positions 523 to 796 of the family's 1533-position model. The record is from RNAcentral.